UGCAAGUCGAACGGUAACAGGAAGAAGCUUGCUGAUUCGCUGACGAGUGGCGGACGGGUGAGUAAUGUCUGGGAAACUGCCUGAUGGAGGGGGAUAACUACUGGAAACGGUAGCUAAUACCGCAUAACGUCGCAAGACCAAAGAGGGGGACCUUCGGGCCUCUUGCCAUCGGAUGUGCCCAGAUGGGAUUAGCUAGUAGGUGGGGUAACGGCUCACCUAGGCGACGAUCCCUAGCUGGUCUGAGAGGAUGACCAG
RNAcentral lists this ribosomal RNA (255 nucleotides) under Escherichia coli. RNAcentral describes it as "partial 16S ribosomal RNA". It matches the Rfam family "Bacterial small subunit ribosomal RNA", at positions 56 to 307 of the family's 1533-position model. Lineage: Bacteria; Pseudomonadati; Pseudomonadota; Gammaproteobacteria; Enterobacterales; Enterobacteriaceae. The record is from RNAcentral.